GAUGAACGCUGGCGGCGUGCCUAAUACAUGCAAGUCGAGCGAACAGAUAAGGAGCUUGCUCCUUUGACGUUAGCGGCGGACGGGUGAGUAACACGUGGGUAACCUACCUAUAAGACUGGGAUAACUUCAGGAAACCGGAGCUAAUACCGGAUAAUAUUUCGAACCGCAUGGUUCGAUAGUGAAAGAUGGUUUUGCUAUCACUUAUAGAUGGACCCGCGCCGUAUUAGCUAGUUGGUAAGGUAACGGCUUACCAAGGCGACGAUACGUAGCCGACCUGAGAGGGUGAUCGGCCACACUGGAACUGAGACACGGUCCAGACUCCUACGGGAGGCAGCAGUAGGGAAUCUUCCGCAAUGGGCGAAAGCCUGACGGAGCAACGCCGCGUGAGUGAUGAAGGUCUUCGGAUCAUAAAACUCUGUUAUUAGGGAAGAACAUACGUGUAAGUAACUGUGCACGUCUUGACGGUACCUAAUCAGAAAGCCACGGCUAACUACGUG
This 497-nucleotide ribosomal RNA is filed under the name uncultured bacterium. Its description in RNAcentral is "partial 16S ribosomal RNA". It matches the Rfam family "Bacterial small subunit ribosomal RNA", at positions 28 to 507 of the family's 1533-position model. The record is from RNAcentral.